GACAGUGGAGACCACAGCGUUAGGAAAGAACUCUAACUUGCUGCUUUAUCUUUUCCCUUGAAAAUUCCUGGCCAAUGGAAAGUGCUUCAUAAAUAUUUUUGGAAUGAAGGCAUGAAUGAGUAAAACCAUAUUGGGAGUGAGGGUUGGAAGAAAAAGAAUUGUGACAGUGGUAACUGUCCAGAUAUUAGUCAGUUCUCAGGCUGUGAAAAUGUCCAACUCAAGGCAUCAACAGGAUGAUACCUAGACUCUGAAGACAGGCUGCUGGUGUUACUGGAAAGCUGCUACAUUCCCGGUUUGGUGUCUCGUCAUGAGAAGGAAUUCAAGGAUGAGACAUGCAGGGUGCUUUCCUGAGUGGGAGAGAAAAGGAUAGAAGUAUAUUUCGGGUGCCAGGACUUGUGUAUAAUCUGUGCGGUUCAUAAUCUGAGUAUGCCCAUUUCAUGUACAUGUGAAUGCUUUGCCAGAUGUCUGUGAAGCAGAUUAAUAAAACAAGGGUCUGUAUAGUCUAAUUUAUAUUUACAGAUGUAAAAAAGAAAAGUCAUUUUUAGUAUUCUCAUUGUUAAUGGAAUUUGAUGUAAUAAAAUGGUCAACUCUUUCCAAGAUGUGGCAAGACAUUUAUGUUGGAGGUAAACCUCUAUAUGGUUUCUUGGAUUCUUUUAGUCACCUCUUUUCUCUGGAGAUGCUGCCUUCUUCCACAUUCUGCUACCUUUGCUGGCUCCCUUGCUUUCCGGAGUCUGAGAUGAUGCCCUGGGCCUCUCUGGCUUUCACACCCCAAA
Choloepus didactylus (southern two-toed sloth) is the source of this 773-nucleotide long non-coding RNA. RefSeq lists it as uncharacterized. Lineage: Eukaryota; Metazoa; Chordata; Mammalia; Pilosa; Megalonychidae. The record is from RefSeq and is a predicted model, not a curated record. The transcript is spliced from 3 exons.